This 253-nucleotide ribosomal RNA is filed under the name uncultured bacterium. RNAcentral's name for it is "partial 16S ribosomal RNA". It matches the Rfam family "Bacterial small subunit ribosomal RNA", at positions 524 to 776 of the family's 1533-position model. The record is from RNAcentral.
UACAGAGGUCCCAAGCGUUGUUCGGAUUUAUUGGGCGUAAAGGGUGCGUAGGCGGUUGCCUAAGUCAGAUGUGAAAUCUCGGGGCUCAACCCCGAAACUGCAUUUGAUACUGGGUGACUCGAGUACUGGAGAGGAGACUGGAAUUUACGGUGUAGCAGUGAAAUGCGUAGAUAUCGUAAGGAAGACCAGUGGCGAAGGCGAGUCUCUGGACAGUUACUGACGCUGAGGCACGAAGGCUAGGGGAGCAAACGGG